CCUACGGGGGGCAGCAGUGAGGAAUAUUGGUCAAUGGGCGUAAGCCUGAACCAGCCAAGUCGCGUGAGGGAUGAAGGUUCUAUGGAUUGUAAACCUCUUUUAUACGGGAAUAAAGUGUGUGACGUGUACUAUUUUGUAUGUACCUUAUGAAUAAGGACCGGCUAACUCCGUGCCAGCAGCCGCGGUAAUACGGAGGAUCCGAGCGUUAUCCGGAUUUAUUGGGUUUAAAGGGUGCGUAGGCCGCCUUUUAAGCAAGCGGUGAAAGUCUGUGGCUCAACCAUGGAAUUGCCGUUGAAACUGGCGGGCUUGAGUAUGUUGAAGGCAGGCGGAAUGCGUGGUGUAGCGGUGAAAUGCUUAGAUAUCACGAAGAACCCCGAUUGCGAAGGCAGCCUGC
RNAcentral lists this ribosomal RNA (394 nucleotides) under uncultured bacterium. RNAcentral's name for it is "partial 16S ribosomal RNA". It matches the Rfam family "Bacterial small subunit ribosomal RNA", at positions 338 to 729 of the family's 1533-position model. The record is from RNAcentral.